RNAcentral lists this ribosomal RNA (612 nucleotides) under uncultured bacterium. Its description in RNAcentral is "bacterial SSU rRNA". It matches the Rfam family "Bacterial small subunit ribosomal RNA", at positions 202 to 817 of the family's 1533-position model. The record is from RNAcentral.
GAAAGAAUAUCGGAGACGGAUGGGCAUGCGGCGCAUUAGCUAGUUGGCGGGGUAACGGCCCACCAAGGCGACGAUGCGUAGGGGUUCUGAGAGGAAGGUCCCCCACACUGGUACUGAGACACGGACCAGACUCCUACGGGAGGCAGCAGUGAGGAAUAUUGGUCAAUGGGCGAGAGCCUGAACCAGCCAAGUCGCGUGAGGGAGUACUGCCCUAUGGGUUGUAAACCUCUUUUGUCGGGGAGCAAAAGCCGGACGUGUCCGGCUGUGAGAGUACCCGAAGAAAAAGCAUCGGCUAACUCCGUGCCAGCAGCCGCGGUAAUACGGAGGAUGCGAGCGUUAUCCGGAUUUAUUGGGUUUAAAGGGUGCGCAGGCGGAUUUUUAAGUCAGCGGUCAAAUCGUGGGGCUCAACCCCAUCCAGCCGUUGAAACUGGGGAUCUAGAGUGUGCGAGAGGUAUGCGGAAUGCGUGGUGUAGCGGUGAAAUGCAUAGAUAUCACGCAGAACCCCGAUUGCGAAGGCAGCAUACCGGUGCACAACUGACGCUCAGGCACGAAAGCGUGGGUAUCGAACAGGAUUAGAUACCCUGGUAGUCCACGCAGUAAACGAUGAAUGCU